AGUGAAUAGAUACCCAGGUAGUCCACGCCGUAAACGAUGAGUGCUAAGUGUUAGGGGGUUUCCGCCCCUUAGUGCUGCAGCUAAACGCAUUAAGCACUCCGCCUGGGGAGUACGGUCGCAAGACUGAAACUCAAAGGAAUUGACGGGGGCCCGCACAAGCGGUGGAGCAUGUGGUUUAAUUCGAAGCAACGCGAAGAACCUUACCAGGUCUUGACAUCCCGUUGACCACUGUAGAGAUAUGGUUUUCCCUUCGGGGACAACGGUGACAGGUGGUGCAUGGUUGUCGUCAGCUCGUGUCGUGAGAUGUUGGGUUAAGUCCCGCAACGAGCGCAACCCUUGAUCUUAGUUGCCAUCAUUUAGUUGGGCACUCUAAGGUGACUGCCGGUGACAAACCGGAGGAAGGUGGGGAUGACGUCAAAUCAUCAUGCCCCUUAUGACCUGGGCUACACACGUGCUACAAUGGACGAUACAAACGGUUGCCAACUCGCGAGAGGAGCUAAUCCGAUAAAGUCGUUCUCAGUUCGGAUUGUAGGCUGCAAC
Molecule: ribosomal RNA, 540 nt
Filed under: uncultured bacterium
Lineage: Bacteria
Description: bacterial SSU rRNA
Rfam family: Bacterial small subunit ribosomal RNA
Source: RNAcentral